UUUCGCAAUGCCCGAAAGGGUGACGAAGCGACGCCGCGUGGGUGAAGAAGGCCCUCGGGUUGUAAAGCCCUGUCAGGAGUUAAGAAAUAUAGGUACGAUAAUACCGUGCCUAUUUGACAAAGGCUCCAAAGGAAGCCACGGCUAACUCUGUGCCAGCAGCCGCGGUAAUACAGAGGUGGCGAGCGUUGUUCGGAAUUAUUGGGCGUAAAGAGCACGUAGGUGGGUUUGUAAGUCAGGUGUGAAAGCCUUCUGUUCAACAGGAGAAUUGCAUCUGAAACUGCGAAUCUUGAGUGUAGGAGGGGAGAAUGGAACUUCUGGUGGAGCGGUGAAAUGCGUAGAUAUCAGAAGGAACGCCGGCGGCGAAAGCGAUUCUCUGGCCUAUUACUGACACUGAGUGUGCGAAAGCUAGGGGAGCAAACGGGAUUAGAUACCCCGGUAGUCCUAGCCGUAAACGAUGGGCACUAAGUAGAGGGGUUUU
This 478-nucleotide ribosomal RNA is filed under the name uncultured anaerobic ammonium-oxidizing bacterium. RNAcentral's name for it is "bacterial SSU rRNA". It matches the Rfam family "Bacterial small subunit ribosomal RNA", at positions 364 to 832 of the family's 1533-position model. The record is from RNAcentral.